Long non-coding RNA from Octodon degus (degu), 177 nucleotides. RefSeq lists it as uncharacterized. Lineage: Eukaryota; Metazoa; Chordata; Mammalia; Rodentia; Octodontidae. The transcript is spliced from 2 exons. The record is from RefSeq and is a predicted model, not a curated record.
CCUCACUUUAGUCCUUCUAAUGAGCUGACAGGAAGCACCACUACUAAUCACACGUACAACAGUAAAAUUUUAGUCUUAUGUUUUUGAGUAGCUGUUUAAAUACUACCAUGAACAGUAACUCAGUCUGACCUAAAGAAAUCAAAAGUAGAACUUGCUGUUAUAUCAUGCUAACUCUUA